GGUGGCUCAGUGGUAGAGUGCUUGCCUUGCAUGCAUGAGGCCCCAGGUUCGAUUCCUCAGCACCA
Molecule: non-coding RNA, 65 nt
Organism: Dipodomys ordii (Ord's kangaroo rat)
Lineage: Eukaryota; Metazoa; Chordata; Mammalia; Rodentia; Heteromyidae
Source: Rfam